UUUUCGUUUUUUCGUGUUCAACGUUUGACCAUUCGUCUUAUUUAAAAAUUUUGUGCAAAAAUCAAAAAAAAUUAAUCACGUAUAAAGUACUAUUCAUAUUUUAUCAUCUAGUAAUAAUAAAAAUAUUAAUAAAAAAAUUUCAAAUAAGACGAAUGAUCUAAAAUUGAACACGGAAAA
Oryza brachyantha (malo sina) is the source of this 177-nucleotide non-coding RNA. NCBI's taxonomy places the organism in Eukaryota, Viridiplantae, Streptophyta, Magnoliopsida, Poales, Poaceae. The record is from Rfam.